This 214-nucleotide ribosomal RNA is filed under the name Klebsiella pneumoniae. RNAcentral describes it as "partial 23S ribosomal RNA". It matches the Rfam family "Bacterial large subunit ribosomal RNA", at positions 1428 to 1644 of the family's 2925-position model. Lineage: Bacteria; Pseudomonadati; Pseudomonadota; Gammaproteobacteria; Enterobacterales; Enterobacteriaceae. The record is from RNAcentral.
GGUUAAUAUUCCUGUACUUGGUGUUACUGCGAAGGGGGGACGGAGAAGGCUAUGUUAGCCGGGCGACGGUUGUCCCGGUUUAAGCAUGUAGGCUGGUUAUCCAGGCAAAUCCGGAUAAUCAAGGCUGAGGUGUGAUGACGAGGCACUACGGUGCUGAAGUAACAAAUGCCCUGCUUCCAGGAAAAGCCUCUAAGCAUCAGGUAACAUCAAAUCG